Molecule: long non-coding RNA, 1587 nt
Organism: Sinocyclocheilus anshuiensis
Lineage: Eukaryota; Metazoa; Chordata; Actinopteri; Cypriniformes; Cyprinidae
Exons: 3
Source: RefSeq, a predicted model, not a curated record
GGUUGAGUAAAAUGUCAGAAUUUUUUAUUAAACUUUAUCAACUAUACACAAGAUUGUAAAAUACAUUUGAGAAAAAUAAAUACUAAUAAUUGUCAGUCCCCCUGUUGCAGAUCCCUGACGUAAAUCAUUGCAAUUCCAACUCAGCGCAGGAAACGUGCCCAAUCACCCAGUGGAUUAUCCGCCCGGCAUCAGAGUGUCUGUACUUAUUACUUUGUGAAAGAGAAACUCCAUUUAAUUAAACAGGUCAGUGAAAAGACUCAGUCUACUGCUAUUUCCCAGGUAAUUUCGCAGUGUUAGCUAAAAUUUAAUUCAAUUCCCUCAUGUGCUGCAUUAAAUUGGGCUCAGAAUUUGAUUGCCACCAGUUUGCAUCCCAAGCCAGUGAACGUCACAUCUUCACUUAGGCGACGCAGGAAUAAAGCCUAAUGUAUGCAAAUAAUACACUCAGCACUUUAAAGCCGCUCAGAGAGGUAAUAUGCUCUAGCAUACAGAACGCCUCUGGGUUCAAAGGGCAGUUAUAUUGCAUUAAGAGUCUACAAUGCUUCUGGCACCCACGCAUGUGCGCUUUGGUAAGAUGGACCCAGUAUGUCUGAAUCAGCAGCGCUUCUAAUGAUUAAAGAAAAUGAGAUUAUAAUGGGAAGCAGGAACAGGUUGAAGUGGUGCACAUAGGCUUUUGAAAAGUCCUCUUAUGACCAGACAGUAAUUGAAAUAGCAGCAUCUCAUGCUAUAGGAACUAAUGUCAUUGCGAAGUUACCUUUUAGUGCCCUGCUCUGUGAGCAAAUGGCCUAAACACUCAAGUAUGGAAGAGUUUAAAAAUGAGAGUGGUUAAACACAUGCUCUACUUGGCUUGGAUUGCAGUUCUCCAUGUUCAUUGGCAGCAGACAUGCAUACAAAUGCUGACAGACCGCCUUUAAACAUUUAUCUUUGUGUUUAUGUUUUAACUCAACCGUGCAUGUAGUGUAUAUGCAACUCAAAUGCAAUAUCAAUCAUAUUCAAACAAGCCUCCGCUGCUGAAAAGACCAGCUUUGCUGGUCAACAGCAUAAAUUGUGUUUUGGAAGCUGGGCUGGAGAAUGGGAUGCUACUGCUGCUCCUCUGUGGGAUUGUUAACUAGCAUCCCAACUCUGCAUUCACGGUGGAGGCUGAUUUGUGAGGCUGGAAUGAGAAAAGUGUGUGGAGUUGGGGGAUUGAGAAGAGAAAUGAACCUGUGCGACGGCCUCAGUACAAGGCGUGAUCUGGGACACGGGCUGCAGUGGGGUCUUGUUUGAUUUAGUUUACAGGCGAUAUAAAAUGAAGAGCACCCCACUGUGAUUUGGAGGACCUGGCCUGAAGGCCCUCACAGACUAUCUAAGGUUGAAAGGCACAUUUAAAGUAAUUAAUCACGCAUGGCUAUACAAGGCUACAUGGUGUUGCUAUGGCUGUGUGUUUCAUACAUGGUAUAUCUUGCCCCAAAGCACUAAAACUGCAAUUAAAACACAGAUUCAAAUAAGGAAAAACAGGCACUAGAUGCAGAACAUGAGACCUAGGACCUUUUUCUAAAAUGAUAUAUGCAUGUGUUCACAGCAGAUCUGUUCUGACAGGGCUGCAGAUAG